GGAUAACAAAACUAUAGGAUUGUGUCUUCCAUUUACCAGAAUGUCACUCCAGGACAGCAACUGCCUGCCUUUAAAAGGACAUGGACUGCCCUCAACCAUUUUGUCCAAAGGGGAUUUGUACACAGAAGCAGGGCAGGUCUCUGAGAUUCCACAACAGUCUGAGCAAGGUCGCGUUGCUGAUUUCCUCCUGCUCCUUGGCACAUACCUGGCACAGCCCAGUUUUGGAAGGUACGAAAGAUUAUUGUCUGGAAAGAUCAGCAGCCACUAAUCCAGCUAAAUCCGUGCUGUUUGUUUGCUGGUUCUACUACAGACACCUUGGCUCCCAGGUAUUCUCAAGAUUAAGAAAUAGCAC
Long non-coding RNA from Calidris pugnax (ruff), 352 nucleotides. RefSeq lists it as uncharacterized. The record is from RefSeq and is a predicted model, not a curated record. The transcript is spliced from 3 exons. Lineage: Eukaryota; Metazoa; Chordata; Aves; Charadriiformes; Scolopacidae.